RNAcentral lists this transfer RNA (74 nucleotides) under Perca fluviatilis (European perch). RNAcentral's name for it is "phenil alanine transfer RNA". It matches the Rfam family "tRNA". Rfam says of the family: Transfer RNA (tRNA) molecules are approximately 80 nucleotides in length. Their secondary structure includes four short double-helical elements and three loops (D, anti-codon, and T loops). The record is from RNAcentral. Lineage: Eukaryota; Metazoa; Chordata; Actinopteri; Perciformes; Percidae.
UGCAUAGCUAGCGUAGCUUAAUUAAAGCAUAACACUGAAGAUGUUAAGAUGGGCCCUAGAAACGUCCGCAAGCA